UGUAACAGCAACUCCAUGUGGAAGCAUCAGUCCAUUCCAGUGGGGGGGCUGUUAUUUU
Molecule: microRNA precursor, 58 nt
Filed under: Gekko japonicus
Lineage: Eukaryota; Metazoa; Chordata; Lepidosauria; Squamata; Gekkonidae
Description: Gja-Mir-194-P4_pre stem-loop
Rfam family: mir-194 microRNA precursor family
About the family: The hairpin precursors (represented here) are predicted based on base pairing and cross-species conservation -- their extents are not known.
Source: RNAcentral